AGAGCAAUGGAGGCCAUUAAGAUGGGGAGGCGGGGAAGUGGAGGGAGGGAAACUCCUAUUGUCUUCUGUCCCUAUCAGAUCUUCUCCAUGAAAGGCUCUGCUUUCUUUAAAGAGAUAACCACCCCUCUGCUUAGCCUUUCUAUUACCCCUCAGUAUAAUUUGGAGAUUUAGAGAAGCUUUGAAAACAACCUUUACUGCCUCCCAUAAGAAUUGUUUCAGUAAUUCGAAAAUGAACUUUCCAGGGCUAUUGCAGGUAUUUUUCCAGGACCUCAAAUCAAUUGUCUCUGCUUCUUCCUGCUUUAAUGGCAUCUGCAAGUAGGUGUGAUAUUUCACGAAGGGUUUCAAGUAAGAAAUGGGCCAGCCACAAAGCUACCUCCCUGAGGGCUACUGUAAACAGUGCCAGCAUCCCAGAUAACUAGUCCACAGACUCGAGUUUGGUCCUCAGAAAUGGAAGAAGCCUUGGAAAUCACCUAAUCAAACCCCCACUUUCUACCCUCCAAGAAACUGUGGCCCAGACAGGAUGAAGAGGCUUAUUUACCCAAGAUUUUACAAAGGGCAGAGUUGGGAUUCUAAUCCAGCACUCCCGACUCCCAGCACAGUACUCUUGGCAGCAAUCCUGGGCUGCCCCUUCAAUCAAUCGCUCAUUUUAUUUAUGUUGCUUACCUUGAGGAAAAUUCAUUUGGCUUGAAAAGGGUCUGAUGUUUCUAAUAAUCUCCUUAUUGGCAGGUGCCCUUUACUUAAAAUAUGCUGGUGGGACUGUGGUUUGGGAUGUCCAAUUUCACGGGAACAUAUGGAAGCAAUAUAUUAACAUUGAUAAGGAAUUGAAAAGAAACUAUUUCUUAAAAAUAAAGAUGAGAUGAGCUUGAAGAGAUUGCCCUGAAAAGCAUCCCAUUUAACUGCAAAGUCAGAAAACAGGAGAAAAAUAAUUUUUUUUAGAAAGUUGUUUAAUAACCAUAACUCACAUUUAUAUAGAAUCACAAAAUUUUAGACAUUGAAGGGAUGUUGGCAGCCAUUUAGUCCAGAGCAUAUUUCCUAAAGAAUCUUCCUUAUGAUACAUCCAACAAUUGUUCCAUCCGGUCUCUGCUUGGAAUUGUGGUUUAAUUGUAUUUUCAGUCACAUCUGAUUCUUUGUGACCCC
Molecule: long non-coding RNA, 1137 nt
Organism: Antechinus flavipes (yellow-footed antechinus)
Lineage: Eukaryota; Metazoa; Chordata; Mammalia; Dasyuromorphia; Dasyuridae
Exons: 3
Source: RefSeq, a predicted model, not a curated record